UGUAAGAGUGAUGGCUGCACACUGGUCAUAGCAUUAAAGGAGGCAGGCAGUGUUCAGUGCUGUCCUGAAGAAAAAAGUGCACAGGGACCACUCAUA
This is a small nucleolar RNA of Diceros bicornis minor, 96 nucleotides long. RefSeq annotates it as small nucleolar RNA SNORD67. NCBI's taxonomy places the organism in Eukaryota, Metazoa, Chordata, Mammalia, Perissodactyla, Rhinocerotidae. The record is from RefSeq and is a predicted model, not a curated record. The transcript has a single exon.